AUUGAACGCUGGCGGUAUGCUUAAGACAUGCAAGUCGAACGGUAACAGGUUAAGCUGACGAGUGGCGGACGAGUGAGUAACGCGUGGGAAUCUACCUUGUAGUGGGGGAUAAGCCAGGGAAACUUGGACUAAUACCGCAUACGCCCUAAGGGGGAAAGGCGCAAGUCGCUAUAAGAUGAGCCCGCGUCUGAUUAGGUAGUUGGUGGGGUAAAGGCCUACCAAGCCGACGAUCAGUAGCUGGUCUGAGAGGAUGAUCAGCCACGUCGGGACUGAGACACGGCCCGGACUCCUACGGGAGGCAGCAGUCGGGGAAUAUUGGGACAAUGGGGGAAACCCGUGAUCCAGCAAUACCGCGUGUGUGAAGAAGGCCUGCGGGUUGUAAAGCACUUUCAGUUGGGAAGGAUAAUGACGUUACCAACAGAAGAAGACACCGGCUAACUCCGUGCCAGCAGCCGCGGUAAGGCACGACUGUU
This 473-nucleotide ribosomal RNA is filed under the name uncultured bacterium. Its description in RNAcentral is "bacterial SSU rRNA". It matches the Rfam family "Bacterial small subunit ribosomal RNA", at positions 30 to 534 of the family's 1533-position model. The record is from RNAcentral.